CUUUAAGAAGGAUAUCUUCUUGCCUUCUCUUUCCCUCACUGAGGGUAAGAUCAAGAUUUUCUUUAAUCGACGGCACAAUAGUAGAAGAAAAACAUAAAACCUCCGUUUUUCUUCUUCAUUUUAUAUAGGCUACUUCAUUCAUGUGAAACAAUCAUAAAUCAGAGAAAGGAAGAUGAUAAAUAUGAGAGUUUUUUUUAAUCUACUCCUGUUGAUUUGCAGAAGGAUGAAAGAGUGUCAAAUUAUUCUGAUUUUAAAUGGUCUGUCACUGCUGAGGUUGAAUGUUUAGAAUGGAAUCCUCACACAGAGUACUCAUAUGUGGUUUGUGCUUCAGCUUUUACUCGGGUCUAAUUUCUUGAUGAUGCAUCACUUAUCUAUUUGUUCUAUUUAAAAUAGAGAAGAAACUAUGCUUGUUAAUUGGGUGGAUAUAAAAAUAUUUAAGUUUAGGUCAUGUAAGUCUUGACGAUGAUACAGUAAAAAAUGUUGACAUUUAAAAUGUCAAAGUCGGAUUCA
Long non-coding RNA from Hibiscus syriacus, 510 nucleotides. RefSeq lists it as uncharacterized. The record is from RefSeq and is a predicted model, not a curated record. The transcript has 4 exons. NCBI's taxonomy places the organism in Eukaryota, Viridiplantae, Streptophyta, Magnoliopsida, Malvales, Malvaceae.